This 287-nucleotide ribosomal RNA is filed under the name uncultured bacterium. Its description in RNAcentral is "partial 16S ribosomal RNA". It matches the Rfam family "Bacterial small subunit ribosomal RNA", at positions 773 to 1060 of the family's 1533-position model. The record is from RNAcentral.
GUGGAUUAGAUACCCUGGUAGUCCACGCUGUAAACGAUGAAUGCUAGGUGUAGGCAUGAAUGUGUCUGUGCCGCAGCUAACGCAAUAAGCAUUCCACCUGGGGAGUACGGCCGCAAGGUUGAAACUCAAAGGAAUUGACGGGAGCCCGCACAAGCAGUGGAGUAUGUGGUUUAAUUCGACGCAACGCGAAGAACCUUACCAGAGCUUGACAUCCCUCUGACCGGCCGAGUAAUGUUGGCCUUUCCUUCGGGACAGAGGAGACAGGUGGUGCAUGGCCGUCGUCAGCU